Triplophysa dalaica is the source of this 4588-nucleotide long non-coding RNA. RefSeq lists it as uncharacterized. Lineage: Eukaryota; Metazoa; Chordata; Actinopteri; Cypriniformes; Nemacheilidae. The record is from RefSeq and is a predicted model, not a curated record. The transcript is spliced from 3 exons.
GAGGGAUUGUUUUUGGUUGGCCCGGUUAGAGUGCGUUAAGUGAGAGCUGGCAAAAUGUUGUCAAAAAGGUUGUCACACUGGAAUCCGAACUCUCAUCUUCCUCCUCGUCAAGCACAGCUUGUUAAAAGUUGGAGGGGAGUAAUAAUUUCACACUGGUCCAUCGCCUUUGUUCUCAGCUGAAAGCAGGGACGGUAAGCAUCUGUAAUGACUGUUGUUUGCAAUUUAGGAAGCUCUGUAAUUGAGGACGCACUUUAACGGAGCUAUCCUCCUCAUUCUUAGCCGCCUUGGUUUCAAUCGGGAAGCUUAGUUGCCGAGCAGAGCACCCGUAGUUAAUGCAACUAAGAGUGGGCAUCCUUAGUGCAAAGUAGCUAUGCAUUUAUGUAAUUAUGUAAUGAUUUAAUUCAUAAACGUGGGAUGUACUGUGCGAUUGGUUUGUGGUUUCCCUGCUUAAAUGUGUUGAAUUACUGCUGUGGGUAAAAAUAGAUUUUAAUAUAUUUAUUCUGGGUGAUAUGUCGUAAAUGUGAUAUUCCGUGUGAAACACUAUUUUGUAACCCAGGGAAGGACAAUACAAAUGGGAAGAAACUUGUGCAGUUGAUUUUAUGCUAUGUGUGUUUAUGGUAUGUUUGUGAUUUGUUUGUGAUGUGAGUGCUUCUGGGUGUAAUUGCCGUUUUUUUCCCUCCUAUUGUAAUUGUAUCAUUAUACUGUACCUCCAAGGUUUAAUGGUUAUUUGUUUCAUUUGUUUUGUUCUUUUCCUUUUUGUUUUCUUUCUUUGAAUGGUCUGACAAACAUUUAUUAUAACAUUGUGCAGCACUUGCCCAAAGCCAGCCUCUAGCUUAGAUUUGGUGUGGGUUCACGUGUUUUGAGCUUGCUGUGUAUAGAGUUUUCCUAUUGUGGGUGCUCUGUUAACAGAGAUUGAGGUAUUUAAUGCACUGUGUUUCUGUGUGACCGCAUUUGUGUGCCUCUGGACAGUAUUAUUUGUCAACCUUCAAUAUUUUAACCAUACCAGUGGUAAUAAUAAAUUGAGAUUGAUUUUUGUAUACCAGUCUUCUCCCUCUUUUUUUGAAUUCUCUAAGACACCUGUUAAAGGGAACUAGGUAAUGCUAAAACUAGAAUAUUAAACAUAAUGUUACACUUAUAUGCUGUAUAUAUGUGAAUAUAUGCUUACAUAUAUGCUUGCAUAUGCGAAUAUAGGCAAAAUUGAGGUGCAUAUAUGUGCAUAUACAGGCCAUAUAGGUCUCCUGUAUUGCUUCUUUAUAUCCACCUAUAAGCCCUAUAUGUACAUACAAGAUAUGUCUCCUAUAUAGCUCAUGGCAGGAUCUGGUGAUUUUGUAGCUCAUAUCUCACUUUGGCAACUGUCAUACAUGAUGCUAGCUCAUAUUUUCUAAAAUCUAGGCAAUAACUAACAAACUAAAAAAAUUAGCAAAAACGUAUGUAUGUGCGAACAUGUGAAAUUGGUAUCACAUGCAAUUGGCAUGUUAUGGAAUUUAACUAUGGCAAAUAAGUGAGAGGAGAUGGGAAGCUAUGUCUACACGUUUUCCUGAAACAUUUAAGGUCAAUUCUUUCUUGAAUAAAGAUAGUGGAAAGGAAGGAAGGAAGGAAGGAAAUUUACAACAAAAUGGUUUGCCGUUUUUUUUAUUUUGUCAAUCAAGCCUUUUUUCCAAUUUCAAGUCACUUCCAGAUUCACAUUACAGCUCAUACACAUCCACACAUUCACCGUUACAUCCAACAAAUGCAAUGCAAAAUGCAAUGUUUUCUAGUUUGUGACGUAAUCCGCAUGCGGCGUAGUUGAUGACGUCAUCCACAUGCGGCGAAAGAUACCUGCUGGGAGAAAAAAUGGCGAUAUCAACAUUGGAGAUCCGCUAUAUCUUACUUGAAUGGAAUGAGGGUGAGGAUAGAGGGGCCUAUACUAUUUUGGCCCUCAACUGUGUUCCGAAUUUUUCAUUUAAAGAUUUUCUUUAAAGGACUGAUAAAAACCGAGAAGCCUGUGGAAUGGCGAAAAGGCAAACCCUGGCUGGUGCACCGAGCCAGAAUUUUUGACGUGGCAAGUAUGUUACACCCUAACUUUAGCUGACGUUAUGUAGUUACAUACCAAAUUAAAUGGGUUUGCUCGUACUUAAAGAAGUGUAAAAUGGAUUUUGCUAGGUACCUGGCUAGCAAUAGCUUAGCUUUCUGGCUCAUGUUAGCUACCUAAUUUGCUAAUGUUAGCGAAGUCCAAUUGGGACUAAUGUUAGAUUUGGUAACGUUAAACAUGAUUAGACAAACGUUUGCAGUAACAUUUCAAUUUUAUUGCAACAGAUUUGAAAAAACUCUCCAAAUUAAACUGUGUGCAAUCGAGAUGGAGGACACACAAGGGCAAACAAAACGUCCUCACAUCCAAAAUCAAAUUACAGUGAGCAACAGGGGCAGACUGGGAAUGCUUCAAAGAAAAGAUUGACAAUAAAAAGGGAGGGGCUUCCAUAAGCACCAGGAGGGUGAGAAGCAGGAGGAGGGUCAUGACAGACUUUCAAAGAACAAGGAAGAGCCAGCGCCGGCCGCCAGGGGGCGACCGUCGAGCCGUCCACCGAGGGCCCAGGGCCACCGCAAGGCAUCGCGAAGGAGAGUAACCCGGCUGGUUGAGGACCGAGCGGCAGCAUGUCGGGGAACCGGACAAUAAUUUUUUUUCCCUCUCUCCUUUCUCUCUUUCUGGUGGCUCCGAGGGCUCCCGUCUCUGGUGUCGUCUCGUCGCUGCAUACCACCCACCCCCCCGAGGGAGGGGGAGGGAGCAUGCACAGUCUCGGGGGUACCCCCCGGCCUGUGAGAGGUGAUGGGGGUAUGUAGUGGAGUAGGCGGGCGUUACCGUGGUUCGAGACCGGUGAGUAAUUGUUAAUGAGCGGCAGCUCUGCGGGCACCGGUCUCGAAUCACGGUGGAGAUCGGGAGUGUAAGGUGGUGAAAAAUGUGAGAAAAGAAGAACCACCAACCACCCACUGGCCCAAUGGCGGAGUCCAAGUGGCAUGGCGAAGGCAUUCGCGCGUUCUGUCUUCACACCGCUCUGGGUUGUUACAGUUAACGUUAUUUUAACAUUGCGUAAUUUAUCUGACUCCAAAAGAUAAAAAAGAAACCUCGAUGAAUUAUAUUGAUUUUCCCGCUUAACUCUAAACCAUAUUCACUCAUCCGAUUCUCAUGUCGCUUAGAGUCUCGCGCCGGCCGUUUAUACGCGGAUCUCACGGUCACAAACUCGCACGUCUUGGUCAUUGCCAGAGGUAAGAGACCAGUAACAUUUAGGUGGCUGCCCCCUGCAACUCACUGCUAAACGUACCUUUUUGGUCAGCCUAGAUUAUUAACACCUAAUCACAAGCAACAAUUAUUUUCAGCCAGAGGUCAUGACCACUCCACAGUGAUAAAUAGACCAAUCUUACCUUCUCUAAUGGAAGCUUUAUAUAAUCAUGCCAUGGUUUCCCAUGUACUCUUAACUGGAAUAAUAUAACUGUAAUCAGAGUUUGAGAUUUACCCUAUUUAGAUUGGUCAGACAACCCAUGUGUUGUUCUAAACGGAUAUUCUCAUUAACAGCCUCUUAGAUCUAAGUACACUUAAACUAAUGCCAAGUUGUUAGCCGGAGCUUUAAAAUUCUCAGCUGGUGUGUUUUCGCCACCUAGACAGGAUUCUAGUCCGUUACUAACCUGAGCGGGGAUUUGCGGUAACAAGGAUGUAACGGGAUACAAUAUAAUUCUUAUACUGAAUACAUAAUAUAAGAACGUGUCUAUAAAUUCAGAAUACUGCGGAACAAUUUCAAACAUGACAAUUUAUUAGUCAGGUAAAUGUUUCUUGCCAAUUACAAUUCAAUAAUUCAGAGAUUUCGAAAACAAAACAUCAAAGCAUCAAAGAUUAGUCUACGAGUCUAAGACGCAUACCUGACAAUAGAAAAAGAUAUGAUCGGAAAAAACACAGAGCUGUGUGUCUGAAGGCACACACACAGCACCGUGGGGUUCAUCAUAGUAAGAAUUCCCCAGAACAUUUUGCCAGCUUCCCUUAAAUACCCAGACCAAAAUACCCUUCCUCAACACAACAACAAUUGACAUUGUAAAGGACUCUGUCCUGGAUCUGUUCAGGCCACAAAUGGGCAUUUGCAUGAAGACACAACCUCAACAGUGAGCAGAAUAUCUUAAAGUCUCAAACCUAUGUUAUGAUCUGCUCUGAUAUUUCAAAUGAUACCAAAUAUGCAUAUGAAGAUUCUUUGUUCAUGUAAGAUACAGUAUUUGUCAAAUCCAGUUCAUGGGUGAGCUUUGAAAUCAGAUGUAAAGGUGUGAGUUGGUAAUCAUCAUUCAUUGUUGUAUGCUGUCUGAGAUGGAGAUGCAAACUCUGUGGGGAGUUCAUUGAAUUGGAUGAAGUUCUGUGUUUCCCGGGAUAUGGUGUCCUUUUGGUAGGGACACCUUUGCACCAGCCUUACAGGAGCAUAUAAGAGAACGAGUGACUGGACCGUCGAGGAGAGAGGACCGGGCCUGAACAUGUUUUAUGGUUGUAUGUAUGUUUUUGUUUUGUGAUUUGUUUUGUUCGCCGGCGGUCGGCUGUGACAGGCCGCAGGCUGUUAUUAUUUAAAUAAAUCUUUUAUUG